RNAcentral lists this long non-coding RNA (4581 nucleotides) under Lactuca sativa (garden lettuce). RNAcentral describes it as "long non-coding RNA (LSAT_LNC002192)". The record is from RNAcentral. Lineage: Eukaryota; Viridiplantae; Streptophyta; Magnoliopsida; Asterales; Asteraceae.
AAAAUAUUAAGAACAUAAAAACUAUUAUUUUUAACUUAUAAUUAAAUAUAUAUUUAUAAUAAACAGAAAAGUAAAGUGGCAUGAUAGUAAAUAUUGUGAAAUCCAAACCUGCUUUCAUAAACACAUAAAUAUCUGAUUCAAAAUCAGAUCUAGAUCUGAUCUUUCUCCCUUUCCUCUCAACAAACUCAUAUAUCUUCUCAAGAAGCUCCCAUCAUCAAGAUCAGGAUGCCGACGACUGACACCGCCGUCGACGACAUUCUCGCUAUCGUUCCUCCCGCAACUUCUGUUUCAUCCGUCUCCACUCUCCACUGCCGCCAAGGAAAACUCGGAUCUGAUGAGAUUCGAUGAAAACAUUGUUGAUCCACAACAUUCGUCAUUGUCAUCACCACCAAACUUUUACCAACACUGCCGACGUCCGCCUGUUUCCGCCUCCAGAUCUGCCAUCAUUCUCGAAUGUCACCAGAUCGUUGACAACGAAACCGAUGCUCUACCACCAUGUCACGACGAGACCGAUGCUCUACUACCGUGUUAGGCUGUUGUUUCCACCAUUACUGCUACAUAUCAAUGUUGUCUCCGGUGAGCUGAAAAAUUCAGUGAAAAUGUGAAUGUCACCAGAUCGUUGACAACGAAACCGAUGCUCUACCACCGUGUCACGACGAGACCGAUGCUCUACUACCGUGUUAGGCUGUUGUUUCCACCAUUACUGCUACAUAUCAAUGUUGUCUCCGGUGAGCUGAAAAAUUCAGUGAAAAUGUGAAUGUCACCAGAUCGUUGACAACGAAACCGAUGCUCUACCACCGUGUCACGACGAGACCGAUGCUCUACUACCGUGUUAGGCUGUUGUUUCCACCAUUACUGCUACAUAUCAAUGUUGUCUCCGGUGAGCUGAAAAAUUCAGUGAAAAUGUGAAUGUCACCAGAUCGUUGACAACGAAACCGAUGCUCUACCACCGUGUCACGACGAGACCGAUGCUCUACUACCGUGUUAGGCUGUUGUUUCCACCAUUACUGCUACAUAUCAAUGUUGUCUCCGGUGAGCUGAAAAAUUCAGUGAAAAUGUGAUGUAUUUGUGAAUACUUUUUUUGUGUGUGUAUAUGUGUGCGCCAUAGUAGGAAUGUUGAUAAGAAGUGCAUUUGUUGGUGUUUCAAACAUAUUCGGAUGAUAGAAUGCAGUUGCAUCUGAUGGUGUUUCUAAUAAAGUAAGGAAGUUUCGUUUGUGAGUUCACCUCCAUAAAAUUUCGGCGAGAGAUUCUUUGGUGAUUUUAUGGAGAUGCUCGAUAAAUUGAAAAAUAUGUCUGAAGCUAAGGUUAUGCCUUUUCUUUUCCUUUGAAUUAAAUAUCAUUUAUUGAUUGUUUGAAUCGAGGUUAUAAAAUUAAUUAAACUUUCAUAUUAAAAAAUCAAAAUUAUUAAUUAAUUAUUUUAAAUAAGUUAUUAAAUUAAAGAUAUUUUUUUUAAUUAUAUAAAAUUAUAAUCGUUGAUUUAAAUAAAUACGUGAAGUUAUAUCAUAUUAUAAUCUGUAUAAAAUUUAUUUUAUUUUUUAAUCAAAUGUUAUUAAUUUAAUAUAAUUAAAGUGAAAAAGUUUAAAUUUUGAAAUUUAAAAUUUAAUAUAAUUAGGGUGGAUAUUUUAAAAUUUGAAAUUUGAAAUAGAUAAUUAAUAUGUUGACAAGUGGCAUGAUAUGGGACAUAAUAUUAAUGAGGAUGUCUAAUAUAAUGACACUUAUCGAUAGGAGAAUAAAUCUAUUUAUUUAUUAGAAUAGGGAUUCAUUUGCUGAAUUAAGACAUGUCAGGUUACUUGUUAAGGUAAAUAGCAAAAAAAAAACACUCUGUUUACACCAAAAUUCUCAUUUGACACUGUGUUUUUUUUGUCUCAAAAUUGACUCUAUGUUUUCCAAUUUGUUAUAAUUUUGACCACUUGACCGAUCAACCAGGUUAUAUGCUGACAUGUCAGUUUUGAUGACGUGACAUGCAGACAUGAUAUGCUGACAUGUCAAAUUGAUUUUUUUCCGCAAAAAACACUAAGUUUUCAUUUUUUUUUUUCGAUUUUGACACCAAGUCUAAUUUUUCUUUCAAUUUUGACACUGUUUUUUUUGUUUCAAAUCGAAUAUCAUUUUUUUCAAUUUUGUUAAAUGUUGACAAUUUUUUAUUUGAAACCGUAUAAAUGUUUUUUUCAAUUAAAAACCAUAGUUUUGUAUAAACACAAGUUUUUUUUACAUUCAAACCAUAAUUUUAUGUAUAAAUAUGUAUUAGUUAUAUAAAAACCGUAUUUUAUAUUAAAUACGCAACUUUAAAAUGAGUUUUGAGGUUUGGAGACGUGUAACCGAUCAAAACCCGGAUGUCAAGUUUGCAACCCAUGAGAUUUUUAUGGUUAGUUUGAUUCUCAUGAUAUAAUUAAUACAUAUUUAUACAUUAUGUUUUGAAUGAAAAAAAUACCUUAUAUUUAAAUAAAAAUGUGGUUUUUAAACGAAAAAAAUAUAUUUGUACAGUUUAAAAUGUAAUAAAAAAUAUAUUUAUAUGGUUUCAAAUAGAAAAUUUUCAAAAUUAAACAAAAUUUGAUAAAUGAUAUUCGAUUUGGAACAAAAAACCAUAGUGUCAAAAUUGAAAGAUAAUUAAAAUUAGUAUCUAUAUCGAAAAAAAAUGAAAAGUUAGUGUUUUUUUGUGGAAAAAAAAAAUUCAAUUUUGACACGUCAGCAUAUCAUGUCUGCAUGUCACGUCAUCAAAACCGACACAUCAUCAUGUCAUGUCAGCAUAUAACCUGGUUGACCGGUCAAGUGGUCAGAAUUAUAACAAAUUGGAAAACACCGUAUCAAUUUUGAGACAAAAAAAAAACACAAGGUUAAAUUAUAAUUUUGGUGAAAAGAGAGUUUUUUUUUUUCUAUUUACCCUACUUUUUUUUUUGUGUUCCAGAUUGCUUGUUCCUACUUUCUAUAAAGUUCCUUUUACAUAUAUUCUACUUUUAUUGAAUAUGACAAUUUUACAUUUAUUGAAUAUGUCAAUUUUUACUUUCAUUAGCUCUAAUAUAUGGAAUAAUUAUUUAGUAUUGGUCAACGGAAAUUGCUAUUAGUUUUUUUUACUAGUCUUUUCAUAGAAUAUUUGAAUUAUGUAUAUAUUAUUAUUCAAACAAAUCCAAUAGUUUAGAAAUAUUUAUAAUUAGGACAAAUAUGAAUAUAUUGACAUUUUAAAUAAUGCAAGCAUGAUCAAUUCGAUAGAUAUAGUAAAUGAACUUUUAAUGUGAAAUUGAUUACGUGGAAAUUAACGAUAAAAUAUUCUAUAGCCUAAAAAUUGUUACACAAGGUGUUUAAUAAAUUGUUUUAGUGGAUUAGUAUAAAUGUUUAAACUGUGAAUGACUCAUAUAUUACACUGUGAAUUAGUGUCUGAAUUUUUGUAUUAAACUGUGAAUGACUGUCUGAAAUAUCGCUUUAAACUAUGAAUUUAGUGUAUUAAACUGUAAAUUUUGUGUACUAAAUUGUAAAUUGAUUGUAUUAAGUUAUAAUUUUUAAAAAUUUUGUAUUGGCUUAUGAAAUAGAUUUGGUUAUCUCUAAUAUUGAAUAAAAUACGUAAAAUUUAAAACGUCGAAUAUUAUAUAAAUAAAGUUUGAAAGAAGCUCUAGCCUCCAUAUCUAAAGGUAUAAAAGUAAUUUCUAAUUUAAGAAUAUNAAUUUUUUGCACUAAACUAUAAAUUGAUUGCAUUAAGUUGUCAAUUUUUUAUGAAUUUUUUGUUAAAAUGUGAAUAUUUUAUACAUGAAUGUUUAUAUUAAUUUAUUGUGACUAUUUUUGUGUUUUGUAUAAAUAUGUAAAUAUGUAAGAAUAUAUUAGUUUUUAUAAUUAUCUUGCAUUAAAUCCUGAAUUAUUGAAUUAAUUAGUUUAUUAAACUGUGAAGGAAGUGGUCGGAGGAAAUGAUAGCGAGGUAUAAAUGUAUUAGUUUUUGUGUAGAAAUAUUUAUGUAAAUAAACUUUGAAAGAAGCACUAACUUAUAGGUCUGAAGAUACAUAUGCUAGUUUUAAGUUUAAAAUAUGGUUGUGAAUAUAUAAUUUUUGUGUAAAAAACUGUAAAUUGACUGUAUUAAAUUGUGAAUUGACUCUAUUAAACUGUGAAUUGACUCAUGAAUUUUGUAUUAAAAUUUGUAUUAAUUUUCUUGUGAAUGUAUUUAUUUUUAUGUUAUAUAAAUAUAUAAGAACUCAAAAUGAUUUAUUAAACUGUGAAUAUAAUAUUUAAGUUGUGAAUCCUUGAUUUUAUAUAUGCAUAUAUGAUUUUUUGUUAACUUUAUUCUGAAUAUAUUUAUUUUUUCUAUUGUAUAAAUAUGUAAGAAUACAUUAGUUUUAAUAAUAGUUUUGCAUUAAAUUCAAAAUGAGUGAAAUAAAUAGUUUUAUUAGACUGUGAAUGUAGUAUUUAAGUUAUUAAUGCAUGACUUUAUUUACAGAUCUGAUUUAGAAGAAAAUAAUGGUUGCGAUGCUGGUACAGAUGGUUGGUGGCAAUGUGUGGUGGUGGUAUUAGUAGAGUUUGAAAUAUUGAUUUCUUUUAGUUUGUGAAUUGUUGUAAAAUGGUUUGUAUUAAGUUCUGAAUUUUGUGAACUAAACUAUAAGUGGA